GAUGAACGCUGGCGGCGUGCCUAAUACAUGCAAGUCGAGCGAACGGACGAGGAGCUUGCUCCUCUGACGUUAGCGGCGGACGGGUGAGUAACACGUGGAUAACCUACCUAUAAGACUGGGAUAACUUCGGGAAACCGGAGCUAAUACCGGAUAAUAUAUUGAACCGCAUGGUUCAAUAGUGAAAGACGGUUUUGCUGUCACUUAUAGAUGGAUCCGCGCCGCAUUAGCUAGUUGGUAAGGUAACGGCUUACCAAGGCAACGAUGCGUAGCCGACCUGAGAGGGUGAUCGGCCACACUGGAACUGAGACGCGGUCCAGACUCCUACGGGAGGCAGCAGUAGGGAAUCUUCCGCAAUGGGCGAAAGCUUGACGGAGCAACGCCGCGUGAGUGAUGAAGGUCUUCGGAUCGUAAAACUCUGUUAUUAGGGAAGAACAAAUGUGUAAGUAACUAUGCACGUCUUGACGGUACCUAAUCAGAAAGCCACGGCUAACUACGUG
This 497-nucleotide ribosomal RNA is filed under the name uncultured bacterium. Its description in RNAcentral is "partial 16S ribosomal RNA". It matches the Rfam family "Bacterial small subunit ribosomal RNA", at positions 28 to 507 of the family's 1533-position model. The record is from RNAcentral.